RNAcentral lists this unclassified non-coding RNA (243 nucleotides) under plant metagenome. RNAcentral's name for it is "partial contains small subunit ribosomal RNA, internal transcribed spacer 1, and 5.8S ribosomal RNA". The record is from RNAcentral.
UUUCCGUAGGUGAACCUGCGGAAGGAUCAUUAACAAAUCAAGUGUGCUUGCACACAUUAAUCUAUGUGAAUUGUCAAUCUUUUUUUAAAAAAAAAGGAUUGAAAAUUUUGAUUUUUUAAAGCUAAAGGGGUUUUUAUAAACUUUUUUACUUUUUAAAUCAAAAAACAAACGUCUAACUAAAAUGACUGAGUCCCAAAAAUAAAUAAAUAAAUAUAACUUUUAACAAUGGAUCUCUUGGCUCUU